Molecule: ribosomal RNA, 429 nt
Filed under: Acidobacteriota bacterium
Lineage: Bacteria; Pseudomonadati; Acidobacteriota
Description: Acidobacteria bacterium partial 16S ribosomal RNA
Rfam family: Bacterial small subunit ribosomal RNA
Source: RNAcentral
UGGGGAAUUUUGGACAAUGGGGGAAACCCUGAUCCAGCCAUCCCGCGUGUGCGAUGAAGGCCUUCGGGUUGUAAAGCACUUUUGGCAGGAAAGAAACGUCAUGGGUUAAUACCCCGUGAAACUGACGGUACCUGCAGAAUAAGCACCGGCUAACUACGUGCCAGCAGCCGCGGUAAUACGUAGGGUGCAAGCGUUAAUCGGAAUUACUGGGCGUAAAGCGUGCGCAGGCGGUUCGGAAAGAAAGAUGUGAAAUCCCAGGGCUCAACUUUGGAACUGCAUUGUUAACUACCGGGCUAGAGUGUGUCAGAGGGAGGUGGAAUUCCGCGUGUAGCAGUGAAAUGCGUAGAUAUGCGGAGGAACACCGAUGGCGAAGGCAGCCUCCUGGGAUAACACUGACGCUCAUGCACGAAAGCGUGGGGAGCAAACAGG